This 900-nucleotide ribosomal RNA is filed under the name uncultured Bacteroidota bacterium. Its description in RNAcentral is "bacterial SSU rRNA". It matches the Rfam family "Bacterial small subunit ribosomal RNA", at positions 48 to 946 of the family's 1533-position model. Lineage: Bacteria; Pseudomonadati; Bacteroidota. The record is from RNAcentral.
CAUAUACAUGCAAGUUGAACGAGAUUAGUUUUAGCAAUAGAACUUUUUUAGUGGCGCACGUGUGCCUAACGCCUAUGCCACCUACCUUAAACAGGGGAAUAGCCUCUCCAAAGAGAGAUUAAUACCGCAUAAUAUAUAUUUGGAGCAUUCUAGAUAUAUUAAACCUACGGGGGUUUAAGAUGGGCAUGCGUGACAUUAGCUAGUUGGUGAGGUAAUGGCUCACCAAGGCAACGAUGUCUAGGGGGUCUGAGAGGAUGUCCCCCCACACUGGUACUGAGACACGGACCAGACUCCUACGGGAGGCAGCAGUAGGGAAUAUUGGUCAAUGGAGGCAACUCUGAACCAGCCAUGCCGCGUGCAGGACUAAGGCCCUAUGGGUCGUAAACUGCUUUUGAACGGGAAGAAAUGUAUCUACGUGUAGAUAUUUGACGGUACCGUUAGAAUAAGGAUCGGCUAACUUCCUGCCAGCAGCCGCGGUAAUACGAAGGAUCCAAGCGUUGUCCGGAUUUACUGGGUUUAAAGGGUGCGUAGGCGGACUUAUAAGUCAGUGGUGAAAGCCUUCAGCUUAACUGAAGAACUGCCAUUGAAACUGUAAGUCUCGAGUUCGGUUGAGGUCAUUGGAAUGUAACAUGUAGCGGUGAAAUGCAUAGAUAUGUUACAGAACACCAAUUGCGAAGGCAGAUGACUAAACCGAAACUGACGCUGAGGCACGAAAGCGUGGGGAUCAAACAGGAUUAGAUACCCUGGUAGUCCACGCCCUAAACGUUGAAUACUCGACCUUAGCGGUAUACAGUUAGGGUCCAAGCGAAAGCGUUAAGUAUUCCACCUGGGAAGUACGUUCGCAAGAAUGAAACUCAAAGGAAUUGACGGGGGCCCGCACAAGCGGAGGAGCAUGUGGUU